UCACUGCAGAGCGUGCCACUGUUCAAUGAUUCCGCUUUUUCGGUCGGUGAGGAAAUAUUAGGGUGAAAGGUUAGGCAACGUUAUAACUCCAAUGCCAGUAACAAAGCCCACAGUUCCCUUCCGGACACUACGACAGAUCGGUUACUAUACCCAAUCCUGAGAUCCACCGACAAGCCAACUUUCUCCAGCAGACGUGGGCGAGCCUGAACUGAAAUAGCAGACGCGCACGCACGGACCAAACGCCCGUCUCUACAGAUCUACUGUUUUAGACCAGAGGAGCAGAGCACCAUGGUUGUGUCCAAGGCCUGGACUUUACGCCAGCACUUCCAGGGUUUCCCCAAGGCUAGUGACUUCCAUCUGAAGGAGGAGACGCUGCCACAGCCCAAGAAUGGACAGGUGCUGUUGGAGGCUGUGUUCCUCAGUGUGGACCCUUACAUGAGACCCUACAGCCAGACGAUGAUGAAGGAGGGAGACGUGAUGAUUGGAUCCCAAGUUGCCAAG
This is a long non-coding RNA of Salvelinus namaycush (lake trout), 501 nucleotides long. RefSeq lists it as uncharacterized. The transcript is spliced from 3 exons. The record is from RefSeq and is a predicted model, not a curated record. Lineage: Eukaryota; Metazoa; Chordata; Actinopteri; Salmoniformes; Salmonidae.